UGGGGAAUAUUGCGCAAUGGGCGAAAGCCUGACGCAGCGACGCCGCGUGAGGGAUGAAGGUUUUCGGAUCGUAAACCUCUGUCAGAAGGGAAGAAACCGCACUGUGCUAAUCAGCAGUGCCUUGACGGUACCUUCAAAGGAAGCACCGGCUAACUCCUUGCCAGCAGCCGCGGUAAUACGGAGGGUGCAAGCGUUAAUCGGAAUUACUGGGCGUAAAGCGCACGUAGGCUGCUUUGUAAGUCAGGGGUGAAAUCCCACGGCUCAACCGGGGAACUGCCUUUGAUACUGCUUAGCUUGAAUCCGGGAGAAGGUGGCGGAAUUCCAGGUGUAGGAGUGAAAUCCGUAGAUAUCUGGAGGAACGUCAGUGGCGAAGGCGGCCACCUGGACCGGUAUUGACGCUGAGGUGCGAAAGCGUGGGGAGCAAACAGG
This 429-nucleotide ribosomal RNA is filed under the name Fusobacteriota bacterium. RNAcentral's name for it is "Fusobacteria bacterium partial 16S ribosomal RNA". It matches the Rfam family "Bacterial small subunit ribosomal RNA", at positions 355 to 776 of the family's 1533-position model. The record is from RNAcentral. Lineage: Bacteria; Fusobacteriati; Fusobacteriota.